This 445-nucleotide ribosomal RNA is filed under the name uncultured bacterium. Its description in RNAcentral is "partial 16S ribosomal RNA". It matches the Rfam family "Bacterial small subunit ribosomal RNA", at positions 354 to 796 of the family's 1533-position model. The record is from RNAcentral.
GUAGGGAAUAUUGGGCAAUGGAGGCAACUCUGACCCAGCUAUGCCGCGUGCAGGAUGACGGCCCUCUGGGUUGUAAACUGCUUUUAUACGGGAAGAAAAAAUACUACGUGUAGUAUACUGACGGUACCGUAAGAAUAAGGAUCGGCUAACUCCGUGCCAGCAGCCGCGGUAAUACGGAGGAUCCAAGCGUUGUCCGGAUUUAUUGGGUUUAAAGGGUGCGUAGGCGGAUCUUUAAGUCAGUGGUGAAAGCCUGCAGCUUAACUGUAGAAUUGCCAUUGAAACUGAAGAUCUUGAAUGUGGUUAAAGUAGGCGGAAUGUAUCAUGUAGCGGUGAAAUGCUUAGAUAUGAUACAGAACACCGAUAGCGAAGGCAGCUUGCUGAACCAUUAUUGACGCUGAGGCACGAAAGCGUGGGGAGCGAACAGGAUUAGAUACCCCUGUAGUCC